RNAcentral lists this ribosomal RNA (692 nucleotides) under uncultured Pseudomonadales bacterium. Its description in RNAcentral is "bacterial SSU rRNA". It matches the Rfam family "Bacterial small subunit ribosomal RNA", at positions 79 to 767 of the family's 1533-position model. The record is from RNAcentral. Lineage: Bacteria; Pseudomonadati; Pseudomonadota; Gammaproteobacteria; Pseudomonadales.
CUUGCUCUUCGAUUCAGCGGCGGACGGGUGAGUAAUGCCUAGGAAUCUGCCUGGUAGUGGGGGACAACGUUUCGAAAGGAACGCUAAUACCGCAUACGUCCUACGGGAGAAAGCAGGGGACCUUCGGGCCUUGCGCUAUCAGAUGAGCCUAGGUCGGAUUAGCUAGUUGGUGAGGUAAUGGCUCACCAAGGCGACGAUCCGUAACUGGUCUGAGAGGAUGAUCAGUCACACUGGAACUGAGACACGGUCCAGACUCCUACGGGAGGCAGCAGUGGGGAAUAUUGGACAAUGGGCGAAAGCCUGAUCCAGCCAUGCCGCGUGUGUGAAGAAGGUCUUCGGAUUGUAAAGCACUUUAAGUUGGGAGGAAGGGCAUUAACCUAAUACGUUAGUGUUUUGACGUUACCGACAGAAUAAGCACCGGCUAACUCUGUGCCAGCAGCCGCGGUAAUACAGAGGGUGCAAGCGUUAAUCGGAGUUACUGGGCGUAAAGCGCGCGUAGGUGGUUUGUUAAGUUGGAUGUGAAAGCCCCGGGCUCAACCUGGGAACUGCAUCCAAAACUGGCAAGCUAGAGUACGGUAGAGGGUGGUGGAAUUUCCUGUGUAGCGGUGAAAUGCGUAGAUAUAGGAAGGAACACCAGUGGCGAAGGCGACCACCUGGACUGAUACUGACACUGAGGUGCGAAAGCGUGGGGA